Molecule: ribosomal RNA, 450 nt
Filed under: uncultured bacterium
Lineage: Bacteria
Description: partial 16S ribosomal RNA
Rfam family: Bacterial small subunit ribosomal RNA
Source: RNAcentral
GUGGGGAAUUUUGGACAAUGGGCGCAAGCCUGAUCCAGCAAUGCCGCGUGCAGGAAGAAGGCCUUCGGGUUGUAAACUGCUUUUGUACGGAACGAAACGGUCCUGGCUAAUAUCCGGGGCUAAUGACGGUACCGUAAGAAUAAGCACCGGCUAACUACGUGCCAGCAGCCGCGGUACUACGUAGGGUGCGAGCGUUAAUCGGAAUUACUGGGCGUAAAGCGUGCGCAGGCGGUGCUGUAAGACAGGCGUGAAAUCCCCGGGCUCAACCUGGGAAUGGCGCUUGUGACUGCAAGGCUGGAGUGCGGCAGAGGGGGAUGGAAUUCCGCGUGUAGCAGUGAAAUGCGUAGAUAUGCGGAGGAACACCGAUGGCGAAGGCAAUCCCCUGGGCCUGCACUGACGCUCAUGCACGAAAGCGUGGGGAGCAAACAGGAUUAGAAACCCCGGUAGUCC